This 2165-nucleotide ribosomal RNA is filed under the name Escherichia coli KTE215. RNAcentral's name for it is "bacterial LSU rRNA". It matches the Rfam family "Bacterial large subunit ribosomal RNA", at positions 784 to 2925 of the family's 2925-position model. Lineage: Bacteria; Pseudomonadati; Pseudomonadota; Gammaproteobacteria; Enterobacterales; Enterobacteriaceae. The record is from RNAcentral.
UAAUGUUGAAAAAUUAGCGGAUGACUUGUGGCUGGGGGUGAAAGGCCAAUCAAACCGGGAGAUAGCUGGUUCUCCCCGAAAGCUAUUUAGGUAGCGCCUCGUGAAUUCAUCUCCGGGGGUAGAGCACUGUUUCGGCAAGGGGGUCAUCCCGACUUACCAACCCGAUGCAAACUGCGAAUACCGGAGAAUGUUAUCACGGGAGACACACGGCGGGUGCUAACGUCCGUCGUGAAGAGGGAAACAACCCAGACCGCCAGCUAAGGUCCCAAAGUCAUGGUUAAGUGGGAAACGAUGUGGGAAGGCCCAGACAGCCAGGAUGUUGGCUUAGAAGCAGCCAUCAUUUAAAGAAAGCGUAAUAGCUCACUGGUCGAGUCGGCCUGCGCGGAAGAUGUAACGGGGCUAAACCAUGCACCGAAGCUGCGGCAGCGACACUAUGUGUUGUUGGGUAGGGGAGCGUUCUGUAAGCCUGUGAAGGUGGCCUGUGAGGGUUGCUGGAGGUAUCAGAAGUGCGAAUGCUGACAUAAGUAACGAUAAAGCGGGUGAAAAGCCCGCUCGCCGGAAGACCAAGGGUUCCUGUCCAACGUUAAUCGGGGCAGGGUGAGUCGACCCCUAAGGCGAGGCCGAAAGGCGUAGUCGAUGGGAAACAGGUUAAUAUUCCUGUACUUGGUGUUACUGCGAAGGGGGGACGGAGAAGGCUAUGUUGGCCGGGCGACGGUUGUCCCGGUUUAAGCGUGUAGGCUGGUUUUCCAGGCAAAUCCGGAAAACCAAGGCUGAGGCGUGAUGACGAGGCACUACGGUGCUGAAGCGACAAAUGCCCUGCUUCCAGGAAAAGCCUCUAAGCAUCAGGUAACAUCAAAUCGUACCCCAAACCGACACAGGUGGUCAGGUAGAGAAUACCAAGGCGCUUGAGAGAACUCGGGUGAAGGAACUAGGCAAAAUGGUGCCGUAACUUCGGGAGAAGGCACGCUGAUAUGUAGGUGAAGCGACUUGCUCGUGGAGCUGAAAUCAGUCGAAGAUACCAGCUGGCUGCAACUGUUUAUUAAAAACACAGCACUGUGCAAACACGAAAGUGGACGUAUACGGUGUGACGCCUGCCCGGUGCCGGAAGGUUAAUUGAUGGGGUUAGCGGUAACGCGAAGCUCUUGAUCGAAGCCCCGGUAAACGGCGGCCGUAACUAUAACGGUCCUAAGGUAGCGAAAUUCCUUGUCGGGUAAGUUCCGACCUGCACGAAUGGCGUAAUGAUGGCCAGGCUGUCUCCACCCGAGACUCAGUGAAAUUGAACUCGCUGUGAAGAUGCAGUGUACCCGCGGCAAGACGGAAAGACCCCGUGAACCUUUACUAUAGCUUGACACUGAACAUUGAGCCUUGAUGUGUAGGAUAGGUGGGAGGCUUUGAAGUGUGGACGCCAGUCUGCAUGGAGCCGACCUUGAAAUACCACCCUUUAAUGUUUGAUGUUCUAACGUUGGCCCGUAAUCCGGGUUGCGGACAGUGUCUGGUGGGUAGUUUGACUGGGGCGGUCUCCUCCUAAAGAGUAACGGAGGAGCACGAAGGUUGGCUAAUCCUGGUCGGACAUCAGGAGGUUAGUGCAAUGGCAUAAGCCAGCUUGACUGCGAGCGUGACGGCGCGAGCAGGUGCGAAAGCAGGUCAUAGUGAUCCGGUGGUUCUGAAUGGAAGGGCCAUCGCUCAACGGAUAAAAGGUACUCCGGGGAUAACAGGCUGAUACCGCCCAAGAGUUCAUAUCGACGGCGGUGUUUGGCACCUCGAUGUCGGCUCAUCACAUCCUGGGGCUGAAGUAGGUCCCAAGGGUAUGGCUGUUCGCCAUUUAAAGUGGUACGCGAGCUGGGUUUAGAACGUCGUGAGACAGUUCGGUCCCUAUCUGCCGUGGGCGCUGGAGAACUGAGGGGGGCUGCUCCUAGUACGAGAGGACCGGAGUGGACGCAUCACUGGUGUUCGGGUUGUCAUGCCAAUGGCACUGCCCGGUAGCUAAAUGCGGAAGAGAUAAGUGCUGAAAGCAUCUAAGCACGAAACUUGCCCCGAGAUGAGUUCUCCCUGAGACUUAGAGUCUCCUGAAGGAACGUUGAAGACGACGACGUUGAUAGGCCGGGUGUGUAAGCGCAGCGAUGCGUUGAGCUAACCGGUACUAAUGAACCGUGAGGCUUAACCUU